This 66-nucleotide transfer RNA is filed under the name Tegyrius keralaensis. RNAcentral's name for it is "tRNA-Cys". Lineage: Eukaryota; Metazoa; Arthropoda; Insecta; Coleoptera; Chrysomelidae. The record is from RNAcentral.
AGUCUUUAUAGUCAAAAAAAAAUGAUAUUAAAUUGCAAAUUUAAAGUUAAAUAAAAUUUUUAAGAC